Molecule: long non-coding RNA, 620 nt
Filed under: Eutrema salsugineum
Lineage: Eukaryota; Viridiplantae; Streptophyta; Magnoliopsida; Brassicales; Brassicaceae
Description: long non-coding RNA (ESAL_LNC001374)
Source: RNAcentral
GCGAGUGAUAAGUGCCAAAGAGAGAAAAGGAAGACCAUUAAUGGAGAUGAUUUGCUUUGGGCAAUGACCACUUUAGGAUUCGAAGAUUACAUCGAACCCCUGAAGGUUUACCUCAUGAGAUAUAGAGAGGUAUGAUCCACUUCUCCUUAUUCAGUUUCUAUUUGAACAAAUGGGGUAGUAAAAGACACCAGUGAAUUUUUUGAUGUUUUUAGUUAUGUGGCAUUGAUAGUACUAGGCAUCAAUAGAAUUUCUGCAAUUCAUUCACUGACACUCUUUUUUUUUUUUUCCUUUUCUUAUUUCUUUUAUCCGAUAUGGAUUGGAAUUUUGCAGAUGGAGGUCAGUGAAUCUCCUCUUUUACUUACCUCUCUAAUUUUUGUCUUUUUAUCUUAUCACAAUCUUUCUGAUAGUCCAGUUUUAUAUGUGGCUCCUUUUUUGGGGCAUAUAUUGUCUGAUUGCAUCUAAGUAGGAUUGUCUGGUUACGUCAUUAUCUGUUUGAUAGGGUGACACUAAGGGAUCAGGAAAAGGCGCGGAACCGAGUGCUAAAAGAGAUGGUCAGCCAAGUCAAGUGGCUCAGGUAAUGAUGACUCUCGAUCUUCUCAAGUUGACAUGUUCAUUUUUUG